Molecule: ribosomal RNA, 449 nt
Filed under: uncultured bacterium
Lineage: Bacteria
Description: partial 16S ribosomal RNA
Rfam family: Bacterial small subunit ribosomal RNA
Source: RNAcentral
AGCGAACGCUGGCGGCAGGCCUAACACAUGCAAGUCGAACGAAGUCUUCGGACUUAGUGGCGGACGGGUGAGUAACACGUGGGAACGUGCCUUUAGGUUCGGAAUAACUCAGGGAAGCUUGUGCUAAUACCGAAUGUGCCCUUCGGGGGAAAGAUUUAUCGCCUUUAGAGCGGCCCGCGUCUGAUUAGCUAGUUGGUGAGGUAAAGGCUCACCAAGGCGACGAUCAGUAGCUGGUCUGAGAGGAUGAUCAGCCGCAUUGGGACUGAGACACGGCCCAAACUCCUACGGGAGGCAGCAGUGGGGAAUCUUGCGCAAUGGGCGAAAGCCUGACGCAGCCAUGCCGCGUGAAUGAUGAAGGUCUUAGGAUUGUAGAAUUCUUUCACCGGGGACGAUAAUGACGGUACCCGGAGAAGAAGCCCCGGCUAACUUCGUGCCAGCCGCCGCAGUAA